GAAUCCAUGACAGUUCAAUCUCUGAACCCCACAGCUUCCUCCUUCACCCUUUGCCGCCCCAGGGCAAGCUUUACUGGGGUGUAACAAACACACGAUAAACUGCGCAUAUUCCAGUGUUCAUGUGGAUGAGUUUGGACAUAUGCACACACUUCCGAAACCACCAGCACAAUCAAGACAGCAGACAUAUCCAUCGCCCCCAAGGGUGUCCUUGUGUCUUUUUGUCAUUCAUCCCUCCCGGCCGCCCCAUCCACACUCCCAUCGCCUGCCGACUGUGGCUGAUCUGCUUUCUGCGGCUGUGGAUUAGUUUGCGUUCUCUACAAUUUUCUGAAGCACCAGUUAGCCCAGAUGCUUCUCAUCUUUGGAGUUGAGCUGCAGGCUGGAGACCUGGAAGGCCCUCGCAGCGCCUGCUCCCAUCCUCUCACCUCACGAAAGCGCAGGAAUGUGGGUUUGGAGCCAAUGAAAAGUACUGGAAUCUGGCUCUGCUCUGUGACCCUGGACAAGUCACUGCCCCUCUCUGGGCUUCAGUUUCCUCCUUGCUCCAUGAGGGCAGGGGAUUUUGUCUGUUUCAUUCACAAUGUGUUCCCAGAGCUCAGCACAGUGUCAGGCACACACUAGGGUUGGCCAUGAUUUGUGAAGGAGAUGCCAUUUUCCAUUGGAUGGACAGUGAGCAAGUGAACGCUUAGAGAAGAAGAGGACAAAACAAGGGAAAAGCCUGCCUGACAGGAAGCAGCACAGAGCUGGACAGGCUUUGAACUCCUGGAUCCCACUGUACCUGAAAUUAGGCACCUUCAACUUUCUAGUUAUGUGAGCCACUGUCUUUCCCAUUUUUGGCUGAAAACAGUUGGGACUGGCUUUCUGUCCCUUGCAUACAGAAGGUGCUGACUGACCCCUGCCCCAUGGAAGAAGAUACUCCAGGCAGAGGAAAUAGUGUGUAUAGACACCCCUAAGCGAAUGCCAAGCGGGGCACUCAUGUACCAAGAAGAAGGAGGAGGAGGCACCUGGGAGCUGAGCUUAAGAGUUAGUCGGGUGGUCAAGGUGGGAGAAGGGGGUAUCUUUAGCAGAGGGAACAACCAUUGCAAAAGCUUGGAGGGGUGACUAGUUAGUGAAGAUCAACUGUGUGCUGAGCUCGUGUUGGGUGGCAAGGGACACAGACGAAAAGGGCACGGUGGAACCCAGCUACUUCUCACCUGCUCCAGCGCAGUGCAGGCUUGUCUGCUUUUGGAGCCGAGCCUGGACACCUCCGUGUCCUUCCCCCGGCAGAGUGCUGCCAGCACGCUGUCUCAGACUCUCCAGCAUCUCCUGGUUGAUGUGCAUCAUGGGGACCACACAAGAUUAUUUUAUAGGCUGCACAGGCAAAGCAUAAAAUCACCUCGGGUCACAUAGCGAGAGUUAUUCUCUCUGCAAAUUCUUUACAGUCUUUCCUUUAUAUCCAGAAGAGUCUCUGUGUGGUGCUAACUUGCCUCGAAGACCAAAUAAUUGCUAGUCUCCCUUUGUGAAAAGGAGAGCAGGUGUCAGGCUCAUUCAUGUCUCAGGCACACAAUUGUAUCUAGCUAGACUUUUCAAAAUGUCCUAUAGAGCUGCAGCACAUAUGAAUGAGGUGUCCAGCUGGUCCCAAACCUGUAAUCGGCACCCCAGUGAGCAGACUGGACAUCCCCACCCCCACAGCUGCCCUUUCUCCCCUCCACUCAUGUUCCCUCUAGGGCCACCACGAUCCCGACUUGUAUCACCACAGAUGAGUUUCACAUGUUUUUGAAUUUUACAUCUUAUCUGUUUUCUGUUCCUAUACAAGUUUGCCUUUUUUGAAUUCCAUAUAAGUGGGAUUCUACAAUGUGUUAUCUCAAUUUGAGUCUGUUUUUUUUUUCCUGCUCAGCAUGAUGUUUUUGAGAUGCAUAUAUGCGGUUUUGUGUAUCUGUAGAUGGUUCUUUUUUAUUGCAGAAUAAUGUUCCAGGGUAUGGAUGUACCAAAGCUUGUUCAUCCAUUCACCAGCUGAGGGAUAUUUGGACUGUUUCCAGUUUUCAGCCAUUAUAAAUAAAGCCACUAGAAACAUUUGCAAA
Homo sapiens (human) is the source of this 2054-nucleotide long non-coding RNA. Ensembl annotates it as long intergenic non-protein coding RNA 1270. NCBI's taxonomy places the organism in Eukaryota, Metazoa, Chordata, Mammalia, Primates, Hominidae. The record is from Ensembl.